Molecule: RNA transcript, 918 nt
Organism: Rosa chinensis
Lineage: Eukaryota; Viridiplantae; Streptophyta; Magnoliopsida; Rosales; Rosaceae
Exons: 6
Source: RefSeq, a predicted model, not a curated record
UUUCUAUCUCACAUAUAAAUGGGGUCUCUCUUUUUUCUCUUCUCCCCUUGACUCCGUUCUUGUUCCGUGUUCGACUAUCACAGCUCGAUCUCCGACUUCCCGUAAGAACCUCAGAACACCAAUACCUCCCAGCGGCGAUGUCUCUAUCAUAAUUGAAGUGCAUAUAAAGAGCAAAAACAGAAUGAUUGGCCUUGGAUUUUGAUUCACCUCAAGCCUUCUUUCUUCUAGAUUUGCAGUAUUCAUGGGGCUGGAAUGGACCCUAGUCCAUCGAACAGUGUCGAGAGGUGUAGGAGGAAGUGCCUAUUAGAGCAAGCAUUCUUUUCUGAAGUAAAGCUAGAGAGAAGGAUGAGGCUGGGAGGUCUAUGUUUUAGCAAGGAUUGAUUGUAGGCAGAGUAGUGAAUGUUGGGCAUAUUUGUUCGUUUGUUCCAAUGCCUUUGACAAUACAAGGAUACUGGAGAAGGCUCUGAAUGCUUUAAAUUAUCCAAUUGCAGUACCUGUGAUUCUUCUCUCAGCCCUUAAAUAUCAAGUCUUCCCAGAGAAGUGGACAAACUUCUAUUUGCCCUUUUGGCUUCUCUUAGCCAUUUUGAACUCUUUGUACUCAUUUUACUGGGAUGUGACUAGAGAUUGGGACUUGAGGUUUGAAGAUGGUAUUGAAAAAUAGAGGAACUGGAAGCCAAGUUUGCAACAUAUGAAAAAGCAAUAUAUGUUCCCCAUGUGAUAAUGGUAUUAUGGAUGCUGAAGAUGAAGAAAAUGAGGAGGAUUUUGGCAUUAAGCGUAUUAGGUUUUCAUAAGUUACUAUUCAUUAGGACGUUGUCUAUCUUAUAUUCACACAUGAAUGUCCUUAAGUAGUUCCAGAUUUUAUUUCUAGUUGAAGACUAAUGAAGCAAAUUUAUGAAAGUGCUCAAGUUUUUCAUCUUA